AUUGAACGCUGGCGGCAGGCCUAACACAUGCAAGUCGAGCGGAUGAAGGGAGCUUGCUCCUGGAUUCAGCGGCGGACGGGUGAGUAAUGCCUAGGAAUCUGCCUGGUAGUGGGGGAUAACGUCCGGAAACGGGCGCUAAUACCGCAUACGUCCUGAGGGAGAAAGUGGGGGAGCUUCGGACCUCACGCUAUCAGAUGAGCCUAGGUCGGAUUAGCUAGUUGGUGGGGUAAAGGCCUACCAAGGCGACGAUCCGUAACUGGUCUGAGAGGAUGAUCAGUCACACUGGAACUGAGACACGGUCCAGACUCCUACGGGAGGCAGCAGUGGGGAAUAUUGGACAAUGGGCGAAAGCCUGAUCCAGCCAUGCCGCGUGUGUGAAGAAGGUCUUCCGAUUGUAAAGCACUUUAAGUUGGGAGGAAGGGCAGUAAGUUAAUACCUUGCUGUUUUGACGUUACCAACAGAAUAAGCACCGGCUAACUUCGUG
RNAcentral lists this ribosomal RNA (484 nucleotides) under uncultured bacterium. RNAcentral's name for it is "partial 16S ribosomal RNA". It matches the Rfam family "Bacterial small subunit ribosomal RNA", at positions 30 to 507 of the family's 1533-position model. The record is from RNAcentral.